Molecule: ribosomal RNA, 600 nt
Filed under: Acinetobacter baumannii OIFC143
Lineage: Bacteria; Pseudomonadati; Pseudomonadota; Gammaproteobacteria; Moraxellales; Moraxellaceae
Description: bacterial SSU rRNA
Rfam family: Bacterial small subunit ribosomal RNA
Source: RNAcentral
AUUGAACGCUGGCGGCAGGCUUAACACAUGCAAGUCGAGCGGGGGAAGGUAGCUUGCUACCGGACCUAGCGGCGGACGGGUGAGUAAUGCUUAGGAAUCUGCCUAUUAGUGGGGGACAACAUCUCGAAAGGGAUGCUAAUACCGCAUACGUCCUACGGGAGAAAGCAGGGGAUCUUCGGACCUUGCGCUAAUAGAUGAGCCUAAGUCGGAUUAGCUAGUUGGUGGGGUAAAGGCCUACCAAGGCGACGAUCUGUAGCGGGUCUGAGAGGAUGAUCCGCCACACUGGGACUGAGACACGGCCCAGACUCCUACGGGAGGCAGCAGUGGGGAAUAUUGGACAAUGGGGGGAACCCUGAUCCAGCCAUGCCGCGUGUGUGAAGAAGGCCUUAUGGUUGUAAAGCACUUUAAGCGAGGAGGAGGCUACUUUAGUUAAUACCUAGAGAUAGUGGACGUUACUCGCAGAAUAAGCACCGGCUAACUCUGUGCCAGCAGCCGCGGUAAUACAGAGGGUGCGAGCGUUAAUCGGAUUUACUGGGCGUAAAGCGUGCGUAGGCGGCUUAUUAAGUCGGAUGUGAAAUCCCCGAGCUUAACUUGGGAAUU